AACGUAGGAGACAAACGUUAUCCGGAGUUACUGGGCGUAAAGAGCGCGCAGGCGGCUGGUCAAGUCCGAUGUGAAAUCUCCCGGCUCAACUGGGAAACUGCAUCGGAAACUGAUCGGCUUGAAGGUGGGAGAGGGUAGUGGAAUUCCCGGUGUAGUGGUGAAAUGCGUAGAUAUCGGGAGGAACACCAGUGGCGAAGGCGACUACCUGGCCCAUUCUUGACGCUGAGGCGCGAAAGCUAGGGGAGCGAACGGG
RNAcentral lists this ribosomal RNA (253 nucleotides) under uncultured bacterium. RNAcentral describes it as "partial 16S ribosomal RNA". It matches the Rfam family "Bacterial small subunit ribosomal RNA", at positions 524 to 776 of the family's 1533-position model. The record is from RNAcentral.